Non-coding RNA from Vicia faba (fava bean), 324 nucleotides. The record is from the annotation of a GenBank genome assembly. Lineage: Eukaryota; Viridiplantae; Streptophyta; Magnoliopsida; Fabales; Fabaceae.
AUGAUGAAUGUAGAAGAAGAGGUUGAAAAGCUCAGGGAAGAAAUCAAGAGGCUUGGAGAGGUUCAAACAGAUGGUUCUUACAAGGUUACAUUUGGAAUACUCUUUCACGAUGAUCGGUGCGCAAAUAUAUUUGAAGCGCUUGUUGGCACACUACGAGCUGCCAAAAAGCGUAAAGUAGUUACCUACGAUGGCGAGCUACUGUUGCAGGGAGUCCAUGAUAAUGUGGAAAAUACUUCCAAAAGAAUGGUAGAACACAAGGAGUUGAAGUAUACCAUAAAGAGAAUCAAGAGACCGGGGUUGAGACGGUAUACUACCAUUCAAUAA